Molecule: small nuclear RNA, 191 nt
Organism: Stegostoma tigrinum
Lineage: Eukaryota; Metazoa; Chordata; Chondrichthyes; Orectolobiformes; Stegostomatidae
Product: U2 spliceosomal RNA
Exons: 1
Source: RefSeq, a predicted model, not a curated record
AUAGCUUCUCGGCCUUUUGGCUAAGAUCAUGUGUAGUCUCCGUUCUUAGCAGCUUUAAUGUCUGAUAUGUCCCUGAAUGGAGGACUCUAUAUUAAUCUAAUGUUUGGAGCAGGGAGUUGGAAUAGGGACUUGCUCCGUCCAUCCUCGCAUCAUCUUGAUAUUGCUGUGUCUCCGAGAAUGGUGCACUCCAG